UCAUCUGCACAUAAAGUAAACUUUAUUCAAGGUUCAGGAUAUUCUUCAUAAUGUCUUCAUUAUUUGUGCAAAGUUCUGCAAGUCUACAAAGAGUGGUCCCAUGACCCAACCUUUCUUAUGAGAUAGUUAACAUAUAAGUCAGAAGUUUUAUCCUUGCCUCUUCAUUCUCUAAGGUUUUUGAACCAGUGGAGCCAUCCUGGCUUAUUCAUUGAUUGUGCAGCAUUGCCAUGAAGCCGAAAGGGCACGGGAUGAUUAAACAUGAUCAAGCACGUGAAAACUUUAACCAAGCAACUCUCAGACUAAAGAUGGAGGAAAAUGCAAUACAUGAAGUUUCCUUGCUCACUCACGAGGGUAUUGCAUGAUGGAGGACUUAACACAAUUUUACAUUCCCAGAAGAAAAUGUGUACCCAAUGAAGAAAAUGUGAAUAGGUAUAUUUCUGGAGGGAAAGGGAAUGAAUUAGACCUUCGUGUUCAGACAAAAUCUUUUACAUGGUGUUUAUAGAAGUAGGUAGCUAUUAGAUUGAUCGUUUGGCAGAUAGGUCGGAAACAAGCUUGCAAAACAAAGAAUAAAGGUUGUUUUUUUUGUUGUUUUUUUUUUUAAUCACUUAUGUCAAAUAUCAUUUGGCCCUACAAAUUGCACCUAAAACCAAAAACACAGUGGCUGCCUAAGUCUUCAGUGUCUUUCUGUUUUCUCUCAAUCUUUCAUGCCUAACCAUGCAUAUUUUUAAAAUUUGUAUAUAUGCAUGAGGUCCAAGUGCAAUUUUGCUACAUUGAUAUAUUUUGUUGUGGUGAUGUUAGGGCCUUCAGUGCAUCCAUCACUGGAGCAGCAUACAUUGUACCCACCAGGUAACUUCCCGUCAUGCAAACCCCACCCCUGUUUUGAAGCUGAAUUGUUAUUAUCGAACUUGAAAUUCUUAGGGCCUUUCUUAAAUGAAAAGAUAAACAGAUCAACAGAUUAAAAUUUAAAACUGCAUUUUGAUAUGGUCAGAACUGCAGAGGAAAUUUAAUUUUUCAUCUUUGACAGAUAGUCAAGAAAGAAUACAAUCAGUAAUGAUAUGAAAAAGCAGAAUUUUUUCUCGAAAGACAUAGGGAAAGAGAGGUAAAGGAUGCUCUAAAAUUGAGGCAGCCAAAAAGGAAUGAGAGAAGAGACUUGCAGGAGGGGACAGUUAAGGACAGUGAAACAAGAAAGAACACCAGAAAAACAAAAGUCUGUCUGACAUGGCUGCCUGUAGCCUGAGCAGGGGACAGGGAGGGUUAAGGUUAGGACAGAGCAAAAGGCACAGAAGAACGCAUCAGGUGACUCUUGGAAUUACCCUGGCCCCGGUGAAACCGAAACCCGAAGCCAAGUGAUAGAGCAGGUAUAUUUAAGGUAGUCCAGGGAGCUUAAAAAAAUAGAGAAGGAAUUGGAUAUCAGAAAACAUUUUGUGAUGCUGUAAUGAGAUCUCUGCCUUAGUGGAUACAUGCCCUAAGGGAUACAAUGCAAAGUCCUGUUAUCUGAAACAUGUUGAAUUAGAAAGGAAAAUCUACCCGAAUCCCCUGUGAGGAAACCCUUAUAAGAUCAUAUUAUUUAUAUUAUGGUUACAAUUUUUGCAAAUUCUAUGUUUUGUUUUAUGACUCAGUAAUCCACUAAACAGAGGUACUUGAAAUUAGUCAGUUAGAGGUAAGGUAUUAUUUGUCUGCAUAUAAUUGUGGUGUUUGUUUGUUUGUUUUAAUCUGUAAGACCUGAUGAUUCCACAGUUUCUUUGUCUAAAUCUAGCCAGCUGUGGAUUCAGAAAUCCCUCAGAUAACUGGACCAUACGGUUGGAGCCUUUACAUAGCUUGCAUAAAGCACCUGAGUAAUUGGCUCUUUUACAUCAGACAACUUAAGGAAAAGGAGUAAAAACAGGAAAUAGAUACCCUUGGCUGCCUCCCAUAGUUGACUAGAUUUUUGCUGCUGUCUGCAAAGCAUGCUGUUAGUUUGUGUUCCUUAUGAUACUAAAUCAGAAAAUGUUUGCCACUCACCAUGAAACAUUUUAUCUAGGAAUGAGGAUUUGUGCAGUUUUGCAU
Non-coding RNA from Macaca mulatta (Rhesus monkey), 2046 nucleotides. Lineage: Eukaryota; Metazoa; Chordata; Mammalia; Primates; Cercopithecidae. The record is from RefSeq and is a predicted model, not a curated record.